RNAcentral lists this long non-coding RNA (1045 nucleotides) under Urocitellus parryii (Arctic ground squirrel). RNAcentral's name for it is "lncRNA (ENSUPAG00010015970.1)". The record is from RNAcentral. Lineage: Eukaryota; Metazoa; Chordata; Mammalia; Rodentia; Sciuridae.
GUCCACCAGAAAGUCAGACACCAUGAUGGUGCCCUGGCGUCUGAUGCCCGCGUUGGGGUCAAACCAGGCGACCUCUUAAUGAAUUCAAGGAGUGAAGCCCUGGUCCCAUCCUUACCAGAAGGCCUGGUCCAGAGGUCCAGUCUCCUAUCGCUCCCUGCAGUCCCACCCCUGGUAGCACCUGGCCGUGCACCACUGUGAGACCAGCGCCUGGCAGGGUUCACCUCAUCCAGGUCAAGUACUGGAAGUGCUUCGUUGUGCGCGGUGGCUCCUCCUGGGUGGGGCAGGUCUGGUUUGGAGAAUGUGAGCCGCAGCUCCCAGUGCCCCACAGCUCUGUGUCCCGGAGGAGGAGCUGCUUCCUUGACCAGUUAAGAGGCAAGCCUGGACCUCACAGUACAGGUAGGACUCCGGGCUCCUACCCGCUCUUGCUCCACCUGUCUGAUGGUCAUGACAGUGACUUGUGUGUUCUCUUGGUACAUCCUGCCCCAGAAGGCAGCUGCCGUGGUCUGCAGGGACCCCUGUGUAGCAAUGUACACUUUGCCCACUCCCAAGUCUGAUUUCUCCUCUGGGUCACUCUGAAAGGGGGUGGAUGUCAAAAUUAAAGCUGAGAGGACAGAUCUAAGUUUAUGCAAGUGUGCAAAAGAGCCUAGGUAGUCCGUGGUUCCUCACACUUAAGGCCAGGGGAGGGCUGAGGAGUCACACUCAGUCCAGCUUGCUCUGAAGACCCUGCUGGCAGGCUUUCAGCCCUGCCAGGGUCCACGCUUUGCUCUCCACCCCUGGGACCUGGCUCUCUGGGACCUCCCAGCAUGGUCUCUGGUGCCUAAGAUGGAGCCCGGAUGACUGGAGGGGGCAGAUACAGGUCAGGAUCUCCGGUGCGAUCCAGAUGGGCCUGGAGGGCAGGAUGUCACGCACACCUACUGCUCCCUCACACACCCACCUGAUGCAGUUAGCAUCGAUGGAGUCGGCUUCAGGCAGGCUGGUGUCCACGUCAGGCAGGGUGACAUGGGUGGUACCAACUGGGAAGGGAAAGAGACCAUCCAGGUCCCUG